AGGGAUGUGGCGCAGCUUGUUAGCACGUUUGUUUUGGGUACAAAAUGUCACGGGUUCAAAUCCUAUCAUUCCUA
This 74-nucleotide transfer RNA is filed under the name Capsicum annuum. It matches the Rfam family "tRNA". Rfam says of the family: Transfer RNA (tRNA) molecules are approximately 80 nucleotides in length. Lineage: Eukaryota; Viridiplantae; Streptophyta; Magnoliopsida; Solanales; Solanaceae. The record is from Rfam by way of RNAcentral.